CCUACGGGGGGCAGCAGUGGGGAAUAUUGGACAAUGGGCGAAAGCCUGAUCCAGCCAUGUCGCGUGUGUGAAGAAGGCCUUCGGGUUGUAAAGCACUUUCAGUGGGGAAGAAAGCCUUGGGGCUAAUACCCUCGAGGAAGGACAUCACCCACAGAAGAAGCACCGGCUAACUCCGUGCCAGCAGCCGCGGUAAUACGGAGGGUGCGAGCGUUAAUCGGAAUUACUGGGCGUAAAGCGCGCGUAGGCGGUCUGAUAAGCCGGUUGUGAAAGCCCCGGGCUCAACCUGGGAACGGCAUCCGGAACUGUCAGGCUAGAGUGCAGGAGAGGAAGGUAGAAUUCCCGGUGUAGCAGUGAAAUGCGUAGAGAUCGGGAGGAAUACCAGUGGCGAAGGCGGCCUUCUGGACUGACACUGACGCUGAGGUGCGAAAGCGUGGGUAGCAAACAGGAUUAGAUACCCGAGUAGUC
Molecule: ribosomal RNA, 465 nt
Filed under: Vreelandella stevensii
Lineage: Bacteria; Pseudomonadati; Pseudomonadota; Gammaproteobacteria; Oceanospirillales; Halomonadaceae
Description: partial 16S ribosomal RNA
Rfam family: Bacterial small subunit ribosomal RNA
Source: RNAcentral